RNAcentral lists this ribosomal RNA (392 nucleotides) under uncultured bacterium. RNAcentral's name for it is "bacterial SSU rRNA". It matches the Rfam family "Bacterial small subunit ribosomal RNA", at positions 505 to 898 of the family's 1533-position model. The record is from RNAcentral.
GUGUCAGCAGCCGCGGUAAUACGUAGGGGGCAAGCGUUAUCCGGAAUUAUUGGGCGUAAAGAGUGCGUAGGUGGUUUUGUAAGCGCGGGGUGAAAGGCAAUAGCUCAACUAUUGUAAGCCCUGCGAACUGUGAGACUUGAGUGCAGGAGAGGAAAGCGGAAUUCCUAGUGUAGCGGUGAAAUGCGUAGAUAUUAGGAGGAACACCAGUGGCGAAGGCGGCUUUCUGGACUGUAACUGACACUGAGGCACGAAAGCGUGGGGAGCAAACAGGAUUAGAUACCCUGGUAGUCCACGCCGUAAACGAUGAGCACUAGGUGUCGGGGCCGCAAGGUUUCGGUGCCGCAGUUAACGCAUUAAGUGCUCCGCCUGGGGAGUACGCACGCAAGUGUGAA